GAACUGGUGAGCUAUGUCUUAGCUUCAUACGCUAGAUUUCUAUGGGAAGCAGAGGACGAAAAUGAAGAUGGCCAACAAGAAAAUAAAUCUUCACCCAGUUUCUUGCAUAGCUCUCCCCCGUCCCCACCAUGACCGUCCCCCUUUGGCUGCAGCUUCCUAGUAACAUCACAAUGUGAACUGUGAUUUUUUUUUGUGUAUAUUAUGCAAUGAAAUUCUAAUUCUAAUGCUUUAAUGCUAAAUUAGUAAUUAAUUAC
This 254-nucleotide unclassified non-coding RNA is filed under the name Hevea brasiliensis (rubber tree). Lineage: Eukaryota; Viridiplantae; Streptophyta; Magnoliopsida; Malpighiales; Euphorbiaceae. The record is from RNAcentral.